GCGACCGUUGUCUAGGGGUUAGGAUUCAGGCCUUCCAAGCCUGUGGCCCGGGUUCGAUUCCCGGCGGUCGCACCA
This 75-nucleotide transfer RNA is filed under the name Candidatus Thorarchaeota archaeon SMTZ1-83. Its description in RNAcentral is "tRNA-Gly". It matches the Rfam family "tRNA". Rfam says of the family: Transfer RNA (tRNA) molecules are approximately 80 nucleotides in length. The record is from RNAcentral. Lineage: Archaea; Promethearchaeati; Candidatus Thorarchaeota. RNAcentral also lists the same sequence under 7 other names.